ACCGGCAGCUCAAGUGGUGGCCAUUAUUAUUGGGCCUAAAGCGUUCGUAGCCGGUUUGAUAAGUCUCUGGUGAAAUCCCGCAGCUUAACUGUGGGACUUGCUGGAGAUACUAUCAGACUUGAGGUCGGGAGAGGUUAGGGGUACUCCCAGUGUAGGGGUAAAAUCCAAUAAUCCUGGGAGGACUACCUGUUGCGAAGGCGCCUAACUGGAACAAACCUGACGGUGAGUAACUAAAGCCAGGGGCGCGAACCG
Molecule: ribosomal RNA, 252 nt
Filed under: uncultured prokaryote
Description: partial 16S rRNA
Rfam family: Archaeal small subunit ribosomal RNA
Source: RNAcentral